GACGAACGCUGGCGGUGUGCUUAACACAUGCAAGUCGAACGGUAAGGCCCUUUCGGGGGUACACGAGUGGCGAACGGGUGAGUAACACGUGAGUAACCUGCCCUCAUCUCUGGGAUAACAGUCGGAAACGGUUGCUAAUACUGGAUAUGAGCUUGCAAGGCAUCUUGUGGGUUGGAAAGAUUUUUUUUGGUUGGGGAUGGACUCGCGGCCUAUCAGCUUGUUGGUGAGGUAGUGGCUCACCAAGGCUUCGACGGGUAGCCGGCCUGAGAGGGCGACCGGCCACAUUGGGACUGUGAUACGGCCCAAACUCCUACGGGAGGCAGCAGUGGGGAAUAUUGCACAAUGGACGGAAGUCUGAGGCAGCAACGCCGCGUGCGGGAUGACGGCCUUCGGGUUGUAAACCGCUUUCAAUUGUGACGAAGCUUUUUUGUGACGGUAGCAGAAGAAGAAGCACCGGCUAACUACGUG
Molecule: ribosomal RNA, 468 nt
Filed under: uncultured bacterium
Lineage: Bacteria
Description: partial 16S ribosomal RNA
Rfam family: Bacterial small subunit ribosomal RNA
Source: RNAcentral